UAUAGAUGGAUCCGCGCUGCAUUAGCUAGUUGGUAAGGUAACGGCUUACCAAGGCAACGAUGCAUAGCCGACCUGAGAGGGUGAUCGGCCACACUGGAACUGAGACACGGUCCAGACUCCUACGGGAGGCAGCAGUAGGGAAUCUUCCGCAAUGGGCGAAAGCCUGACGGAGCAACGCCGCGUGAGUGAUGAAGGUCUUCGGAUCGUAAAACUCUGUUAUUAGGGAAGAACAUAUGUGUAAGUAACUGUGCACAUCUUGACGGUACCUAAUCAGAAAGCCACGGCUAACUACGUGCCAGCAGCCGCGGUAAUACGUAGGUGGCAAGCGUUAUCCGGAAUUAUUGGGCGUAAAGCGCGCGUAGGCGGUUUUUUAAGUCUGAUGUGAAAGCCCACGGCUCAACCGUGGAGGGUCAUUGGAAACUGGAAAACUUGAGUGCAGAAGAGGAAAGUGGAAUUCCAUGUGUAGCGGUGAAAUGCGCAGAGAUAUGGAGGAACACCAGUGGCGAAGGCGACUUUCUGGUCUGUAACUGACGCUGAUGUGCGAAAGCGUGGGGAUCAAACAGGAUUAGAUACCCUGGUAGUCCACGCCGUAAACGAUGAGUGCUAAGUGUUAGGGGGUUUCCGCCCCUUAGUGCUGCAGCUAACGCAUUAAGCACUCCGCCUGGGGAGUACGACCGCAAGGUUGAAAC
RNAcentral lists this ribosomal RNA (689 nucleotides) under Staphylococcus aureus. RNAcentral's name for it is "bacterial SSU rRNA". It matches the Rfam family "Bacterial small subunit ribosomal RNA", at positions 220 to 900 of the family's 1533-position model. The record is from RNAcentral. Lineage: Bacteria; Bacillati; Bacillota; Bacilli; Caryophanales; Staphylococcaceae.